Molecule: small RNA, 960 nt
Filed under: Pan troglodytes (chimpanzee)
Lineage: Eukaryota; Metazoa; Chordata; Mammalia; Primates; Hominidae
Description: retained intron
Source: RNAcentral
AGUGCGGCCGUCAUGGCGUCGCCCUUCAGCGGGGCGCUGCAGCUGACGGACCUGGAUGACUUCAUCGGGCCGUCUCAGGAGUGCAUCAAGCCUGUCAAAGUGGAAAAAAGGGCGGGAAGUGGCGUGGCCAAGAUUCGCAUUGAAGAUGACGGGAGCUACUUCCAAAUUAACCAAGACGGCGGGACCCGGAGGCUGGAGAAGGCCAAGGUCUCGCUAAACGACUGCCUGGCGUGCAGCGGCUGCAUCACCUCCGCAGAGACCGUGCUUAUCACCCAGCAGAGCCACGAGGAGCUGAAGAAGGUUCUAGAUGCUAACAAGGGGUGCACUUCGUCUUCGACACCGCCUUCUCAAGGCACUUCAGCCUCCUGGAGAGCCAGCGAGAGUUUGUGCGGCGAUUCCGAGGACAGGCCGACUGCAGACAGGCGCUGCCCCUGCUGGCCUCCGCCUGCCCAGGCUGGAUCUGCUAUGCCGAGAAGACCCACGGCAGUUUCAUCCUCCCCCACAUCAGCACCGCCCGGUCCCCGCAGCAGGUCAUGGGCUCCCUGGUCAAGGACUUCUUCGCCCAGCAGCAGGUAACGGUGUUGGGCCAGCCCCAGACUCGGGCUGGGGAGCGGCCAGAAGUGACUACGCUGGCCUCUUGCCAUGAGGCUGCAGGAAACAGAGUCCUCGCCGUGGUGUGCGGCCUUCCCGAGUACACCUCCACCCUUGUUCCCUCCUGGUUCAGGCCCCUCCUCUUCUGCAGCAGAGGGCUUCGUUCUGAUCCAGAGGUGCUCACUGCUCACCCAGAGGCAGCCAGGCCUGAGGCUGAGGGAGCAGGAGGCCCUGGGCAGUCCGGGCCUGGAGCCCACCCCUCCGGCCACCAGGUCCACGAGGAUGCCCAGCAUGACCCCCACCUGAGGCCCAGCGGGAUAGAAGCCUGACGACACUCAGCCAGCAGGGGGCGGGAGAGGGCGAGGGCGG